RNAcentral lists this ribosomal RNA (464 nucleotides) under uncultured bacterium. RNAcentral's name for it is "SSU rRNA". It matches the Rfam family "Bacterial small subunit ribosomal RNA", at positions 26 to 518 of the family's 1533-position model. The record is from RNAcentral.
AGCCUGAACGCUGUCGGCGUGGUUAAGACAUGCAAGUCGUACGGGUGUAGCAAUACACUAGUGGCGCACGGGUGAGUAAUAUAUAGCUAACGUACCCCGGAUUCUGGGAUAGCCAAUCGAAAGGUUGGGUAAUACCAGAUGAUAUGACGGUGUCGCAUGGCACUGUCCUCAAAGGGCAACCGUUCUGGGAUCGGGCUAUAUUGUAUCAGUUAGUUGGUGAGGUAAUGGCUCACCAAGACUUUGACGCAUAGCCGGGCUGAGAGGUCGGCCGGCCACAUCGGAACUGAGACACUGUCCGGACUCCUACGGGGGGCUGCAGUAACGAAUCUUCCACAAUGCACGAAAGUGUGAUGGAGCGACGCCGAGUGUGGGACGAAGUCCUUCGGGAUGUAACCACUGUCAUGGGAAAGAAGAUCUGAUCUACCCAAGACGGAAGUGGCGACUAACUCUGUGCCAGCAGCCGC